GAGAAGAGACAGAGAAUAUGGUUGAAGUAAUAAGAAGAUUUGCAAAGAAGAAUAAUGAAGAGAGGAACAGAGAAGAGAAACAAUGGGGUCCUCUGUAGAGAUGAGCAUUGCAAGAUUAUGUCCUCCCUCUUCUUCUCCUUCAGAUAGUGCUUCAUCAGUCACAUAAUCUGUUAACCAGGUAUGUGAGCAUAAGCCACACAUCCAAACACACGGAAACACUCAACACUAGGCUUCCUGUUACUCCAAGCUUCUUCAGGAGUAGUAUUGGGAACAGCUGUGGUGGGGCUUCUAUUUAUCACAUAGAUGGACCAAUUUACAGCCUCUGCCCAGAAUUGCUUUGGUAAUUCCUUCCCUGACAACAUGCU
Long non-coding RNA from Populus trichocarpa (black cottonwood), 365 nucleotides. RefSeq lists it as uncharacterized. The record is from RefSeq and is a predicted model, not a curated record. The transcript has 3 exons. NCBI's taxonomy places the organism in Eukaryota, Viridiplantae, Streptophyta, Magnoliopsida, Malpighiales, Salicaceae.